UGGGGAAUAUUGGACAAUGGGGGCAACCCUGAUCCAGCAAUGCCGCGUGUGUGAAGAAGGCCUGAGGGUUGUAAAGCACUUUCAGUGGGGAGGAGUGAUGCUAGGUUAAGAGCUAAGCAUUUGGACGUUACCCACAGAAGAAGCACCGGCUAACUCCGUGCCAGCAGCCGCGGUAAUACGGAGGGUGCAAGCGUUAAUCGGAAUUACUGGGCGUAAAGGGUGCGUAGGUGGUCUGAUAAGUUAUCUGUAAAAUCCCUGGGCUCAACCUGGGCAGGUCAGAUAAUACUGUUAGACUCGAGUAUGGGAGAGGGUAGUGGAAUUUCCGGUGUAGCGGUGAAAUGCGUAGAGAUCGGAAGGAACACCAGUGGCGAAGGCGGCUACCUGGCCUAAUACUGACACUGAGGCACGAAAGCGUGGGGAGCAAACAGG
RNAcentral lists this ribosomal RNA (429 nucleotides) under uncultured bacterium. RNAcentral describes it as "bacterial SSU rRNA". It matches the Rfam family "Bacterial small subunit ribosomal RNA", at positions 355 to 776 of the family's 1533-position model. The record is from RNAcentral.